UCCUACGGGGGGCUGCAAUUAGGAAUCUUGCGCAAUGGGCGAAAGCCUGACGCAGCAACGUCGCGUGGAGGAUGAAGGUUUUCGGAUUGUAAACUCCUUUUAUUGGGGAACAAGUUCUGAGUGUACCCAAUGAAUAAGGCCCCCCUAACUACGUGCCAGAAGGGUCGGUGAUGCGUAGGGGCCAAACGUUAUCCGGAAUUACUGGGCGUAAAGAGAUGCGUAGGCGCCUCAAAAAGUUUUAUGUUAAAUUCCAAUGCCUAACAUUGGAUCUGCGUAAAAAACUUUUGAGGUUGAGUCAGACAGAGGAAAGCAGAAUUCCUGGUGUAGCGGUGAAAUGCAUUGAUAUCAGGAGGAAUACCAAUUGCGAAGGCAGCUUUCUGGGUCUUGACUGACGCUAAGGCUCGAAAGCGUGGGUAGCAAAACGGAUUAGAUACCCGGGUAGUC
RNAcentral lists this ribosomal RNA (444 nucleotides) under uncultured bacterium. RNAcentral describes it as "bacterial SSU rRNA". It matches the Rfam family "Bacterial small subunit ribosomal RNA", at positions 337 to 795 of the family's 1533-position model. The record is from RNAcentral.